RNAcentral lists this ribosomal RNA (372 nucleotides) under uncultured bacterium. RNAcentral describes it as "bacterial SSU rRNA". It matches the Rfam family "Bacterial small subunit ribosomal RNA", at positions 527 to 896 of the family's 1533-position model. The record is from RNAcentral.
GUAGGAGGCUAGCGUUGUUCGGAUUUACUGGGCGUAAAGGGCGUGUAGGCGGCUUGGAAAGUCCCUUGUGAAAUCUCCCGGCUCAACCGGGAGCGGUCGAGGGAUACUUCCAGGCUAGAGGGCAGUAGAGGAGAGCGGAAUUCCCGGUGUAGCGGUGAAAUGCGUAGAUAUCAGGAGGAACACCCAUGGCGAAGGCAGGUUCCUGGCCAUAUCCUGACGCUGAGGUGCGAAAGCUAGGGGAGCGAACGGGAUUAGAUACCCCGGUAGUCCUAGCCGUAAACGAUGGAUACUAGGUGUUAGAGGUAUCGACCCCUCUAGUGCCGCAAGCUAACGCGUUAAGUAUCCCGCCUGGGGAGUACGACCGCAAGGUUG